Non-coding RNA from Hypoxylon sp. NC1633, 69 nucleotides. NCBI's taxonomy places the organism in Eukaryota, Fungi, Ascomycota, Sordariomycetes, Xylariales, Hypoxylaceae. The record is from the annotation of a GenBank genome assembly.
GCUUUGGUCAAAUGGUUAUGACUGGCACCUCUCACGACGAGGUGGUGGGUUCGAAUCCCACUGUGUGCG